Long non-coding RNA from Anolis carolinensis (green anole), 1114 nucleotides. RefSeq lists it as uncharacterized. NCBI's taxonomy places the organism in Eukaryota, Metazoa, Chordata, Lepidosauria, Squamata, Anolidae. The record is from RefSeq and is a predicted model, not a curated record. The transcript is spliced from 3 exons.
CUCACUGUAAACUCACUUACUAGGUUUGUGGAGUUGGGUUGGAGUCUGACAAUACCUCACAAUCUCUGAGGAUGCCUGCCACGGAUGUGGACGAAAUGUCAGGAGAGAAAGCUUCUGGAACAUGGACACACAGCCCAAAAGACUCACAGUAACCCAGUCUGACAAUAGUUGCUAAGAGACGUAAAAGUGAGGCAAUAGAUAUACAGUUCCAUCCAUUUGUUUGCUGUCUCUGGUCAAGCUGGUUUUAAAGGCAAUUGAAAAUAUGCCUAAUUAUUUUAACCAGACAUGAUAGUGACAUAAUUGAAGAUAUCAAGGUCAAACUAUGCCUAACUUGUACCACAUUCAGCUCUCAAACUAGCAUCAACUUCCAGCUCAAACUGGAUAAAUUGUCACAUCAGCAUCUGAUCAAUCCCUUGAAUGUAGGAACAAACUGGCACAUUCAGCAACCAUUGUUUCAGAAAACGUUUACAGAGACAGAUAAUCAGCAAACUGACUUGCUGUUACACCUUUAUUACUCUUUUCUUCAGAACAAUUGAUGCCAUUUUAGAGCCCACGCUUACACAUCCUGUUGAAUUUCAAUUAAUCUGCACAAUUAAAUAUUUGUGAGUGUGAGUGUGUGUGUAACCACACACUCCAUCGAUAAGCAUGGCAUUUUGUCUGUAAUUGUUAGAAUGAUUUUCACACAAAUUCUUAUUGUUUUUAUUGAAAAGGAAUCGUGAAAAUAAUAUUGGCACAGCUCUAUAUUUGAAAAUCAGGCAAGGAGGGCUGCCAGACUGACCAUCAUCCUUUUGUCCCAUCUACGUCCCUCUCACCCACAAUACAACAAGAAUUCUUUAUUGAUUAGUCACUUUUGACCAUAUCAAAACAUGUAAAACAUACAAUACGUACACACUUACGCAUACAUACAAUAAAACCAUGUAAAGAUACAAAACAUCCCGACCUGCGGCCUAAUAACCUGCUCCUAGACAAAUACAGAGUAAAAAGGUUAAAAUCAGUAAUUUCCUAAGGAAAAGUUUGAACAAGGACAGGGAGUGAAAUGAUUAAUGGCAUGGCCAAGAUGGCUCUUGUGGCUCUUGAACCAGCACAUCUUCCAUUCUAGGUAAAUUCAUCCUAG